Molecule: small RNA, 573 nt
Filed under: Histoplasma capsulatum var. duboisii H88
Lineage: Eukaryota; Fungi; Ascomycota; Eurotiomycetes; Onygenales; Ajellomycetaceae
Description: Histoplasma capsulatum H88 hypothetical RNA
Source: RNAcentral
CCAGGCUGAGGAAAUAAGACAUAAACACUAGUGUAAGUAUUCAGGAAGGGAGAUACAUUCCAGUCCCGGGAACAACAGUUCACUUCGUUGAAAAUACCAUCAGCCAUCAGAUAACUCUUAUGCGCCCGCCCAACGUACUGUACAUAGGAGACCCUGCUACGAUAAUAAAUAUCAUUAGUGUAAUAUCGGGAGCUGAUGCACAGGUCAUGCAAAUUUCCCAGCGAGCAGUUUUUCUUGGAGGGGAAAAUACAGAUCUACAGAGCCUGGCUCGUUGAGCUCAUUCAAUCUCUCUUACUGAAAACUAGACAAAGACUGACAGAAUCUCGAUCUGGAUAGAAGGCGUCAUGCCAAUGGUUUUACCAUCAAACCCAGAAUGUAUGACAAGCUGUUGUAUUAACAAAAUACAACGCAUAGUCGCCAGCUGCCAACUGUGGCAAUGUUGAAACUAGAGCAAUUAAUGGAUGAAGUGUGGAGGUUGGACGGAUUUGUUAAUUCGAUGCAGUACACACUGCUUCAUGGAGGCUCCCCUAUACUUCCUAUUGAGGACUAGCGUACUUUGCUUCCAAAACUGAC